This 307-nucleotide unclassified non-coding RNA is filed under the name plant metagenome. RNAcentral's name for it is "partial contains 5.8S ribosomal RNA, internal transcribed spacer 2, and large subunit ribosomal RNA". The stretch from base 1 to 105 matches the Rfam family "5.8S ribosomal RNA", at positions 50 to 154 of the family's 154-position model. The record is from RNAcentral.
GAAAUGCGAUAAGUAAUGUGAAUUGCAGAAUUCAGUGAAUCAUCGAAUCUUUGAACGCACAUUGCGCCCGCCAGCACUCUGGCGGGCAUGCCUGUUCGAGCGUCAUUUCAACCCUCAGUACCCCUUGCGGGAUCUGGCGUUGGGGAUUGGCAUCCAGCCAGCCCCGAAAUCUAGUGGCGGUCCCUCCGCGACCUCCCCUGUGCAGUAGCGAUACCUCGCAGCGGGACAGCGGUCUGACCACGCCGUAAAACCCCCAACUUCUCAAGGUUGACCUCGAAUCAGGUAGGAAUACCCGCUGAACUUAAGC